Molecule: long non-coding RNA, 680 nt
Organism: Wyeomyia smithii (pitcher-plant mosquito)
Lineage: Eukaryota; Metazoa; Arthropoda; Insecta; Diptera; Culicidae
Exons: 3
Source: RefSeq, a predicted model, not a curated record
AGCCAACGCCGAAUUGAAAUCAGGUGUAAGUGGAAAUCAGUUUGUCAAAUAAAAUCACACCUCCAGGGGGAAAAACACGGAGCGAUGAUUGUCGAUCUAGUUAGCCUGCAGCUGAGGGCACAAGGAGUAAAUAAAAUAUGAGUGGCAUUUCAAUGGUUGAGUACCAGCGAACAGCAAAAAAAACAGGUGAAAGAAGAAUGAGGGUACAACAAAAAAAAACAGUGAAGAAGAGCAAGAAUCGAGGCCAAGCAACAUCAAGUUCAGCACACGCAGACAAUGUGCACAGCGAUGAUGAAGUGGCUUUGUUGCAUACGGGAGCCGUCGAGUGUUUCCCGCAUUCUGAGUGCAUUCCUUGGCAGCCCCACAACGCACAGUGGAGGCUCUUCAAACAACAGUUGGACAAAACUCAGAAGAGAUUGGAAUUUUUUGACAAACAUUAAUCAUAAGACCACUAGUUUUGUCCGGCCUCACCGGCCACUGUGCCACACGGUCCAGCCGGGCUGCCAGGAGGAGCCGAACGUGUGGUAAAGUAUGCUGAGUGCUUUGUUCUGUCGGGAUGCUGAGAACACAUGUGAGAGCAAUCUGGCUGUGGAUUGUUGACAUUUCAUUGUCUUUGAGGUAAGUUUCCAUUUUAUUAGAUCAGUGUUUUUCUUAAUCAACCAAACUAAAACAGAACCCAC